GUCGCGGCGGCUACGCCCACCUGGACCCAGUUUACCCUGUACUGUGCUGCAAAAUAUUACUUUCUCCCCAUCUGGAAUUCUUCCCUUCCUCCUUCCUGCCGCAGUGGUGUACUGAGCACUUUCACAAAGAACAAAAUUUUAAAUAAAUUAAAAACGACACCUGUAAUUUGAGAAGAUGCUUGAUAUCAGAAGAGGAGAAGAGUGGAGAGGGGUGGAGUGGCAAAGGAGAGCCUCCAAACCAAAAGCCUGCGGCAGAGGCCCUAGGAGGCAAGCACUUAACCAUGUUUCAGGACUAGAAACGAAACAUGUGACAAGACCUUUAAAAACAAAUAGAAUGGGAUGGAAUAAAGUUGGAUGAGUAAGCAGGCAUCAAAUCAUUCAGAAACUUGUUGUCCAAGUUGAAGAAUUUGUUUAGUAUUGUAUAAUAAAUGCAGAGGAAGCUAUAUACACUUAUAAUUUACAUUUUUUAAAGGCCACGUUGUAGCUCAAUCGGAUAGUUUGUCUUUUGAUGGGAUGUAGUAUACAGUAUCAUCAUGGUAUAUUCCAGGCAAAAAUAUUUAACUUGAAUCUGUCAAGCCUUUGCAUCUAACACAGUUUAUAAAAAAUACAACAGAUAGAUGAACAAACUAAAUGAUGCCAGAGGAAGUAACUAGACAGAUCCAGAAGGUGAAACAUUCUGCAGGAUAACUGGCCCAUCUCUUCAACAAUUUGUCAUGAUAAAAGCAACUGCUUUAUGAAAAGAAAUUUAAGGGACAUAACAGUUUGAAUUGGAUCCUGGUUUGAACAGACUGUCUAUAAAAUGCAUUUUCAGGACCAUUAAAGAAAUAUGAAUGUAGAUGGACUGAGUAUUGGAUAAAAUAGAACUGUAUUGCCAUGGAAAAGAUCAUUAACUGAAAAGAGCAAGUCACGAAAUAGUAUGUUACAGCAUCUCAUUUUGGUUUAAAAAUGCACAUAUAUGUAUUUAUGUACAACUAAAAAAAUAGUGGGCUUAUACCCUAAGGUGUUAGUAUUGGUAAUCUUUGGAAGUGGAAAUGUGUAUUUUUUUCUUUGUGUUUGCCUAUCUUUUUCAUUGUAACUUUUGCAGCACAUAGACUACUUUCAUUAUAGUAAAAGUUUAUUUUACCACAAUUUUUUUUUUUUUAGAAAGAGUCUCACUCUGUCACCCAGGCUGGAGUGCAGUGGCACAAUCUCAGCCCACUGCAACCUCCACCUCCCAGGUUCAAGCUAUUCUCCUGCCUCAGCCUUCUGAGUAGCUGGGACUACAGGUGCACACCACAUGCCUGGCUAAUUUUUGUAUUUUUAAUAGAGACUGGAUUUCGCGAUGUUGGCCCGGCUGGUCUCGAACUCCUGGCCUCAAGUGAUCCACCCGCUUUAGCCUCCCAAAGUGCUGGGAUUACAGGCGUGAGCCACUGCACCCGGCCUAUUUUACCACAAUUUAUAAAAAUUUUUGUUUAUUUUAAUUAAGCUAUUCUAUGUUAAAAUAAGUAGCCACCCUUGGCUGAUGCAUAAAGAAAAAAUUAGAGGAAGGAAAGAAUGGAGGCAAGGAGGCAAAUCAUGAGACCAUUUCAGAAAUCAAGACGAAAUCAGGAAAGCUAACAUUAGCAAGAGUGAACCAAACUGAUAAUAUCUUUGAGUUUAAAACUGAAGAAUUUACCAAUGAACUGCAUAGGAAAGUAAAGAAAAGAGAGUGGUCAAGAUAGGUCCUGGUUUUGGGGCCUGAACAUCUGAGUGGUUAGUAGAAUCAUUACCAGUUGAUAACCCAUGGAAGAGGGUGGGGGAUGGGUGGUGUCUUGUAGGUUGGUUGACAGGACUGACCCAUUGGGAAGAUAACGAAGAAGCAAAGUAUAUGAAAAGAGGAGAAAGGGUAACCAGAGGAGGGAGGAUACAAAGGGAGUGAUUAGCCAUCAGAAAGAUGAGGGACAUGACAUUUGUUGAGGCAGAUGGCGGAGAAAAGAAAGUUAACAUAGAUGUGGUUAGUUUUGUGGCAUUGACCAAAGGAAGAUUAAGGUGAUACUAUCUGAUGGCUUGGAAUGAAAACCAAACUCCCUGCCACAACAUGAUGAUCUUUCUCUGCAACUUCAUAUUUUGCCUCUUGUUCCUCAUUUGUUACCACUGAGUCACAAUGGUCUUUUUAGUUUCUCAAACACACCAAGAUCUUUCUUGCCUCAUGUGACCUAGAAUGUUUUCUCCCUUUCUUCAUAUCUCAGUUGAAAGGUCUCCUCUCCUCAUCAUCAUACUAUCUAAAGUAGAUUCCCUCCCUUGUUAACCUCUAGCGCAGCCAUUAGUUCCUUCAUAACACUUACCCUAACUUGCAAGUAUUUUGUUUGUUGAUAUAAUUUUUAUCUGACUUCCCCACUAAAAUGUAAGCUCCAUGAGGGCAAAAAUUGUGUGUUUUGUAUACUGAUGCAUCUCUAGCACUUGGUAUAGCAGGCAUUCAAUAAAUAUCAUUAAAUAAGUUUCACCCUUGUAAAAAAAAAAAAUAUAUAUAUAUAAAAUAUAUUCUCUACUUCCAAAAUAACACACUUUCACCAACAACAAGCACUCCAGCUAAUUAGGCAAUAGGCCAAUAAGCAAAGAAUUAUGGUAUAUUAGUCAAGAUUGGCUAGCUUAUGUUCUGACAAUAAACAAUUUCAAAAUCUCAGUUUCAAUUUUAAACUCAAAGAUACUAAUAAACAUUUGUUCUUUGCUCACACAAAGUCUAAUAUGGAACAGGCUUAGAGUUGUCCUCCAACCAGUGUCUGAGCAAUCCAGACCACUUUGAUCUUGUAACUCUGCCAUCCCAACAUGAGAUUCCACUUUCACUGCAGAAGAGGAAAUCUGUAGCAUCAUGCAGCAGCUUGUCACUACCUCAGCCCUCCUACUUCCACUUGCAUUUCACUAGCUAGAACCUUUCACAUGGCUCCACCAAACUGCAAUGGGACUGGGAAGGGAGAAUCAGAUAUUAGGGAGCAUUUAUAAUGCCUUCCAAGGGUGUGUUUCACUGCUUCCAAACUUGCUUAUGAUGAUGUUUUUCAUUUAUGUAAUGAAAUGCCAUAUGUUCUUAGUGUGUAUUCUCAGCAUAACGAGUACAUUUGGAGAAUAUUAAGUCAGUGGACUUUCCUUCUUGAAAAUUCCUGGUUCUGGGCCUAUCAUUAACCCCACUGAUUGAACCAGUGGAAAUAGUUGCCUCUUCGAAUGGAGAGAACCCUGCUGAAGGCAGCUUUGAGUUUCAAAAUAGUGUGUUUCAAGUCCACAUGGAGACGAUAGCCUGAAAGUAAGCACUUAUGAUUUUUGGAGGAGUCUUUGUUAUUAAGGAGAAAAGAGGCUUACAGAAGUCAGAUUCAGAAGACUGUAGUAUUUUUACAAUAAAUGAGAGUAAACAGUAUAAGGAUUUGAUGUAAGGGAAGUUCCUGCAGUGCAAGAAAGAAAGUCCUUUUGGUGCUGAGCGGAACAGUCUAAGAGAGAAAAGGUGAAGAACAAAAGGAAAAUGUAAAUGUGGUAUUCACACUUCCCUACUCCACACUCAGGAUAAACCUAGAGUAUGAGGUAGAGGCGGGAAUCUAGAGGGGAGGAAGCAUAGAAUAGGAACACCCAAAUAGACUUGAUGAAACAAAAAACAUCAAGGAUGGCUCCCGUGUCACCUGGGAAGACACACUUCAUGUAAGGAAUGGAAAAAAGGCAAUGGUAAGGGACAGGGGCCCUGGAUUUUUUACAACAUGCGAUAGAGAACUAUUUGUCUCCUUAAUUUAUUUAACUUUAAAAAAUAAUAAUGAAUGAAAGAAAAAUUACCCAUUUUUCAAAUAUGGGUGUGUAAGUUUUUUCCACUUUGUACAAAAAAUUUUAAAGAAACGAAAACUGCUGAACACCUUAUAUUCAGAAUUACUCCCUGUAUAAGCCCAUUCCAAUUCCAUAUACUGCUGAUUAAAUUUCCAUCAGUUGGCAGUUCUCUAAUAUCAGUUUCACUGCUAUUUAACUAACUACUGCCCUUUGCUACCAGUGUCUCUCUUGGAUGAGAGUCACUUUACUUGAAUAAGAUAACUUCUGAGAAUAAAUCUAUGCACUAUUUUGGAAGAAUUGCUCUAUAGAGUAAAAAAUAAUUCUGGAUAAUUGAAAGUUAUCUUGUGAGUAUCUGGACAUUAAGGAUACAUUUCAAGACUCCUGUUUUCACUAAAAUCCAAUAUUUGUUUAAGCACUUCAAGUUAAAGAGGAGCACCUUCCCCUUUCACCCUGACUAUCGUUGUUAAUUCGUUUUUGAAGCUAUAUAAGAACGUUUCUUUAAUCGGUUUUCCCUUAGGCAUACAUUAGCUCUCUGUUCAAGACUUAGUAGCAGAGAGUAGUAAGUAAAUGGUUAUUAGUGGUUCUUCAUAUAAAACACAUUUGAGUUUCUUAGAAGAAAACUAUGCAUAAAGAUUACUUUCAGAUAUCAUGUCUGUAGUUCGUUAAUAGAGAAGUUUCUCUGAACGUGUGGAACACUGUAAUAAGAUAAAUAAAUUUUUAAAAAGAAAAAGUAAGCAUAUAUACAAAAUGUAUGUAAUUUCAUUUGUCUUCACUUAUUUAAUAUUUAUAACCAU
Molecule: long non-coding RNA, 4550 nt
Filed under: Homo sapiens (human)
Lineage: Eukaryota; Metazoa; Chordata; Mammalia; Primates; Hominidae
Description: non-protein coding lnc-CLASP2-1:14
Source: RNAcentral